CUUACAACCUCUUGGGUGUAUCUUACAACCCCCCUUGUGUAUCUGUUACGUUCCCCAGCCCCUUUGUGUUUCUCUUUCUUACCCCCAGGGGCUGAGAUGGGUGGACAGGGGCACAUGGGCUGUAGAGAGGGGACAGGAGCUGGAGAGGGGGUGGACAGGGGCUGUGGUGAGGAUGGGGCACAGGGGCUGUGGCAGGAGGGGGGUGGACAGGGGCUGUGGUGAGGAUGGGGC
Molecule: non-coding RNA, 231 nt
Organism: Pelobates cultripes (western spadefoot toad)
Lineage: Eukaryota; Metazoa; Chordata; Amphibia; Anura; Pelobatidae
Source: the annotation of a GenBank genome assembly